Molecule: transfer RNA, 69 nt
Filed under: Stegostoma tigrinum
Lineage: Eukaryota; Metazoa; Chordata; Chondrichthyes; Orectolobiformes; Stegostomatidae
Description: tRNA-Ala
Rfam family: tRNA
About the family: Transfer RNA (tRNA) molecules are approximately 80 nucleotides in length. Their secondary structure includes four short double-helical elements and three loops (D, anti-codon, and T loops).
Source: RNAcentral
AAGGUUUUAGCUUAAUUAAAGUGUCUGAGUUGCAUUUAGAAGAUGUGAGAUAGAGUCUUGCAGAUCUUA